UUUGCUUAAAAUAAAAGGUCCAGCCUGCCCAGUGACACUGUUCAACGGCCGCGGUAUCCUAACCGUGCGAAGGUAGCGUAAUCACUUGUUCUUUAAAUGAGGACUAGUAUGAAAGGCACCACGAGAGUCAUACUGUCUCCUCUCUCCAAUCAGUUAAACUAAUCUCCCCGUGAAGAAGCGGGGAUAACUUUAUAAGACGAGAAGACCCUAUGGAGCUUUAAACGAAUAACACUUGCCCCCCUCUCCUUUCAAUUUCAGAAAAAUCUAUUACCUUGGCAUCAUACUUAUAAGUUUUUGAUUGGGGUGAUCACGGAACAAAAAAUAACCUCCGCAAUGAAAGACUCUCCACAACUAAGUCAAGAACCACAACUCUACACAUCAACAAAUUGACACCAAUUGACCCAAUUUAUUGAUCAAUGAAC
RNAcentral lists this ribosomal RNA (422 nucleotides) under Adenomera andreae group sp. ABGD cluster 3. RNAcentral's name for it is "partial large subunit ribosomal RNA". It matches the Rfam family "Bacterial large subunit ribosomal RNA", at positions 1835 to 2457 of the family's 2925-position model. Lineage: Eukaryota; Metazoa; Chordata; Amphibia; Anura; Leptodactylidae. The record is from RNAcentral.